Molecule: small nucleolar RNA, 97 nt
Organism: Ursus thibetanus thibetanus
Lineage: Eukaryota; Metazoa; Chordata; Mammalia; Carnivora; Ursidae
Gene: U3
Rfam family: Small nucleolar RNA U3
About the family: Small nucleolar RNAs (snoRNAs) are involved in the processing and modification of rRNA in the nucleolus. There are two main classes of snoRNAs: the box C/D class, and the box H/ACA class. U3 snoRNA is a member of the box C/D class.
Source: Ensembl
AAGACUAUACUUUCAGGGAUCAUUUCUAUAGUUUGUUACUAAAAUAUUGGCAAAUCUUUCAUUAUAAUCAUUGAGGUUUGUCAAUUAGAGGAAAUGC